RNAcentral lists this ribosomal RNA (349 nucleotides) under uncultured bacterium. Its description in RNAcentral is "bacterial SSU rRNA". It matches the Rfam family "Bacterial small subunit ribosomal RNA", at positions 917 to 1264 of the family's 1533-position model. The record is from RNAcentral.
GGGUCCGCACAAGCGGUGGAGCAUGUGGUUUAAUUCGAUGAUACGCGAAGAACCUUACCUGGGCUCUAAUGCGAGUGACCGCUCCUGAAAGGGAGCUUUUCCUUCGGGACACGAAGCAAGGUGCUGCAUGGUUGUCGUCAGCUCGUGCCGUGAGGUGUUGGGUUAAGUCCCCGCAACGAGCGCAACCCCGUAUCUUUAGUUGCCAGCGAUUCGGUCGGGGACUCUAGAGAGACUGCCUGCGCAAGCAGAGAGGAAGGCGGGGACGACGUCAAAUCAUCAUGGCCUUUAUGCCAAGGGCUACACACGUGCUACAAUGGUAAGGACAAAGGGCAGCAGAGCCGGCGACGGU